GUAAUACAAUGCACUGUAGAACAUCUGUCUUGUAUGCAGAAGGCCCCAGGUUCAAUCCCUGGCAUCUCCA
This is a non-coding RNA of Podarcis lilfordi (Lilford's wall lizard), 70 nucleotides long. NCBI's taxonomy places the organism in Eukaryota, Metazoa, Chordata, Lepidosauria, Squamata, Lacertidae. The record is from the annotation of a GenBank genome assembly.